CCUACGGGAGGCUGCAGUGGGGAAUAUUGCGCAAUGGGCGAAAGCCUGACGCAGCGACGCCGCGUGAGGGAUGAAGGUCUUCGGAUCGUAAACCUCUGUCAGCAGGGAAGAACGGUCACUGUGCUAAUCCGCAGUGAAUUUACUUUACCUGCAAAGGAAGCACCGUCUAACUCCGUGCCAGCAGCCGCUGUAAUACGGAGGGUGCGAGCGUUAAUCGGAAUUACUGGUCGUAAAGGGCUCGUAGGCGGUAUGUCAAGUCAAGGGUGAAAUCCCCGGGCACAACGGGGGAACUGCCUUUGAAACUGGCAAAGUGGAGUGUGGGAGAGGAUAGUGGAAUUCCAGGUGUAGGGGUGAAAUCCGUAGAUAUCUGGAGGAACAUCAGUGGCGAAGGCGACUAUCUGGCACAUAACUGACGCUGAGGAGCGAAAGCGUGGGUAGCAAACAGGAUUAGAUACCCGAGUAGUC
This 465-nucleotide ribosomal RNA is filed under the name uncultured bacterium. RNAcentral describes it as "partial 16S ribosomal RNA". It matches the Rfam family "Bacterial small subunit ribosomal RNA", at positions 338 to 795 of the family's 1533-position model. The record is from RNAcentral.